This 918-nucleotide ribosomal RNA is filed under the name Staphylococcus aureus. RNAcentral describes it as "partial 23S ribosomal RNA". It matches the Rfam family "Bacterial large subunit ribosomal RNA", at positions 1286 to 2200 of the family's 2925-position model. Lineage: Bacteria; Bacillati; Bacillota; Bacilli; Caryophanales; Staphylococcaceae. The record is from RNAcentral.
AAGUGAGAAUGCCGGUGUGAGUAGCGAAAGACGGGUGAGAAUCCCGUCCACCGAUUGACUAAGGUUUCCAGAGGAAGGCUCGUCCGCUCUGGGUUAGUCGGGUCCUAAGCUGAGGCCGACAGGCGUAGGCGAUGGAUAACAGGUUGAUAUUCCUGUACCACCUAUAAUCGUUUUAAUCGAUGGGGGGACGCAGUAGGAUAGGCGAAGCGUGCGAUUGGAUUGCACGUCUAAGCAGUAAGGCUGAGUAUUAGGCAAAUCCGGUACUCGUUAAGGCUGAGCUGUGAUGGGGAGAAGACAUUGUGUCUUCGAGUCGUUGAUUUCACACUGCCGAGAAAAGCCUCUAGAUAGAAAAUAGGUGCCCGUACCGCAAACCGACACAGGUAGUCAAGAUGAGAAUUCUAAGGUGAGCGAGCGAACUCUCGUUAAGGAACUCGGCAAAAUGACCCCGUAACUUCGGGAGAAGGGGUGCUCUUUAGGGUUAACGCCCAGAAGAGCCGCAGUGAAUAGGCCCAAGCGACUGUUUAUCAAAAACACAGGUCUCUGCUAAACCGUAAGGUGAUGUAUAGGGGCUGACGCCUGCCCGGUGCUGGAAGGUUAAGAGGAGUGGUUAGCUUCUGCGAAGCUACGAAUCGAAGCCCCAGUAAACGGCGGCCGUAACUAUAACGGUCCUAAGGUAGCGAAAUUCCUUGUCGGGUAAGUUCCGACCCGCACGAAAGGCGUAACGAUUUGGGCACUGUCUCAACGAGAGACUCGGUGAAAUCAUAGUACCUGUGAAGAUGCAGGUUACCCGCGACAGGACGGAAAGACCCCGUGGAGCUUUACUGUAGCCUGAUAUUGAAAUUCGGCACAGCUUGUACAGGAUAGGUAGGAGCCUUUGAAACGUGAGCGCUAGCUUACGUGGAGGCGCUGGUGGGAUAC